This 253-nucleotide ribosomal RNA is filed under the name uncultured bacterium. RNAcentral's name for it is "partial 16S ribosomal RNA". It matches the Rfam family "Bacterial small subunit ribosomal RNA", at positions 524 to 776 of the family's 1533-position model. The record is from RNAcentral.
UACAGAGGGUGCGAGCGUUGUUCGGAAUUAUUGGGCGUAAAGCGCAUGUAGGCGGUAUGUUAAGUCGCGUGUGAAAGCCCCAGGCUCAACCUGGGAAGUGCGCGCGAAACUGGCAACCUUGAGUGCUGGAGAGGGUGGCGGAAUUCCCGGUGUAGAGGUGAAAUUCGUAGAUAUCGGGAGGAACACCAGAGGCGAAGGCGGCCACCUGGACAGACACUGACGCUGAGACGCGAAAGCGUGGGGAGCAAACAGG